Non-coding RNA from Peromyscus maniculatus bairdii (prairie deer mouse), 1581 nucleotides. Lineage: Eukaryota; Metazoa; Chordata; Mammalia; Rodentia; Cricetidae. The record is from RefSeq and is a predicted model, not a curated record.
UCCAAAUGGAACUAGGCCAAAGUUUUCUUGAGUGCACUGAACCCCCAAUGGUCAUCUUACUGGCAAAGGCCCCAACUCAGGGUUCAAGACAGAAAAGCUGAAAGGUUCAUAUAAGUUGAUUCAGUAAAUCUUCACCAGUGGUCUAUUUAUAGAAAUUUCACUUUGAAUGGGAAGCAGUUUCUUUGGCCGAAUGCAGAUGGAGCCUCAAGGUACAGUUAUGCACACAGAGACCACAGCAGAGCAAGGAAGAGGAUGAUGGGAUUCAACAAAGCGCUGUGUCCCAGGUUUAGGAGAAGAAGUUACAGCCAUGCUUCCUCUUGUCGAUCUCCACGUCCCUUGAAGGUGAAAGCCUUGGGUGGAACAGUGGAAAAUUGAAAAACAAGGCAAAAACAAAAGGUGAAGUUACAAAGCAGAGGAGGACAAGUCAAGUCCAUCCCCAAUAAAAGCCCCACCUCUUGGACCAAAAUGCUCUUUUCAAUUGGCCAGCAUACUGGUGACAGAAUUCCCGUAACAGAUGUGGAUAUUGGAUUCUACACUGGAAAUAGAUGAUCCACUUUCUGCCCUAUAGUUUUUGAGAGGGAAUAGAAUGAUAGACAACUAUGGCUCACAGAGUAUCCAGGAAGUGGACGAUGAAGAUCAUGGAGAGACCAACUAUCUCACCUCGGGAUGGCGCUCAUCUGUAGCUGGCAAACUGCCAGCAACCUCCAGCAACAUCAAGGGAUCACAGAGGAUCACAGAAGGAGAAGAGGUCCAAUAUUACUAUCCCGUUCCUGUGGUGAACAGAACUGUGGGAAAGAGAGCACUGUCCCCUGGGAACACCAAGUCAAUGCCAGAGGAGCAACAUGUGCAUAAGCUCUGAAGCCCACUAAGGUGGAGUGUAAAUUGAAAAUUGAGACCUGAAUGGGCUUUCUGAAGUCAGGAUUCCAGUGGCCUUGGGGAUGUAGAUUCCACAGAGGUCAUUCAGUUUCAUUUGUUCAGUGGCUUGCUUAAGGCAGCCUACUUGACUCAAAAUGCAGAGUGAUGACUCUGUUAGUCUCCAAGGAUCCUCUUCUAGGGGCAUACUUAUAAGUUCUAGGCAGACAUUGUUACUGUUAACUCAGAAUGGCACAGUGCUAGCCAAGAUCUGUUUCUUAAAGGACUCAGUAUGGUAUUAAAUGUAAGAUCAAUAUGUAAAUAUUGAUAUAUCAAAAUAAAUAAAUGAUGUAUAAUAUACAAAUAUAUACAAAUAAUGUAUAUUUUAAAAUAUAUAAUAUAUAUAUAUACAUUACUAUAGUAAAAUCUCCCUUUUCUAAGUUUAAAAAGAUGUGUAUCAUUUUUUUUCAAUAAUUUUUACUCCUCAGUUUUUGAUCAGUUGAUAUGACUUUUAGUCAAUAGUAAGUAUUAGCAUACCUUUACUAGUUGUAUUGUCUACUAAAAUGUAUUGAGUCAGUAAUGUUUACCCUGUUCUUAAGAAAGCAAUAUAUUGGGCUGGAGAGAUAGCUCAGAGGUUAAGAGCACUGGCAGUUAUUCCGGAGGUCCUGAGUUCAAUUCCCAGCAACCACAAGAUGGCUCACAACCAUCUGUAAUGAGAUCUGGCACCUU